This is a non-coding RNA of Phrynosoma platyrhinos (Desert horned lizard), 69 nucleotides long. NCBI's taxonomy places the organism in Eukaryota, Metazoa, Chordata, Lepidosauria, Squamata, Phrynosomatidae. The record is from the annotation of a GenBank genome assembly.
GGCAGUGUGGCCUAGUGGUCUGUGCGUGGACUACGACUCUGGAGACCAGGUUCGAUUCCUGCUCAGCCA